This 8016-nucleotide long non-coding RNA is filed under the name Vigna radiata. Its description in RNAcentral is "long non-coding RNA (VRAD_LNC010348)". Lineage: Eukaryota; Viridiplantae; Streptophyta; Magnoliopsida; Fabales; Fabaceae. The record is from RNAcentral.
UCAUCUGCUGUCAGCUAUAUGGUUCCUUCAAAAAUUAUAUAAGAAAUAUACUUUGUUUUCUCUUCUUAGUUUAAGCUGUCAGACUUCAUUCUAUAUCACAGUUUUAUUCAAAGAGAAGUCACAAACAUUCAUAUGUUUACUACCCAAGUUUCACUUCCUUCCCAAACCCGAACCAAUACCGCUCUGAAUGCCCAUUCAAUCGACAUCAUCUAGCUCAACAAAGAUUUUACGAAACAAGACUACAAGCAAAAAAUCAACGACAGUCUCGCAUCAAACUAUUAUCCCGAUCAAAUAUAUCAAGGUAUGUAUAUAAUUCAGCCAAAGAAAAGGUUAACUCCCCUUUCUCAGUCUAUAAAGCUUUGCUACCUCUCUUGCUCUAUUGCUACUUUUUUGAAGGAUCUAUGUCUCUCUGAGACGUUCAUAAAAUUUUCUGAUUAUUCUCACGUAUACUUUUCUAUAUUUUUGAUUGUUUUUUUUUUUUUCAUUAAGCUAGAAAGCUGAUAGUUUGGACGAUUAUAAUCAAGAAGUAACAAAAUUCUAUAAUUUUUAUUCCUUGUUUCCGCAAUUAUUUCCAAAUUUUGUGUAUGUUUUGUUUCAUUUCUUUACAGUGUAUAAGUUUUAUUGUAUGAAAUCAAAUUAUUACAUACGCUAGGGUAGAAAUGAAAAAGGAGAAGAUUAUGUGUUACGAAAAAAAAAAUUAUACAUCUUAAGAGAUAAGAACGAGAAAUCGAUGGCAAUAAUACAUAUAAUAUAAUAUAGAAUGGUUAAAAGAAUAAAUUUAAUUGAGACCGAAAAUUAUCACAUUAAUAUUUUAUAAUGAAACGUUACUGACAAAGUAGUAUAGCUUUGGGUAUUCCAAAGUAAAAGUCUAUCUUUCGUUUAAUUUCUUUAUUAUCUCUUGCAACGGUUCUAAUAUAAUAUGGUUGAACUAAUUAUUAUACAACAAUCAGAUACUCUCUCCAAGGUAGUGAGAUUCAAUUUUGUAUUUAAAUUCCUCUUUAUCCAUAAAUAUAUAUAUAAAAGAAAACUUUAAAUUAGUGAAUAAAAUUUACUAAUUAUAAUUUCAACAGAAAUAUUAAAUUUUAUAAGAUUCAUCUUUAUUUGAAAAAACUCUCUCUUGAGAGAAAAUAAAAUAGUUUAUUGUAUUUAUUUCGGGUCUUACACCUCCCCCUUUAGGUUUGCUUUCGUUUUUCCUUUUCUUGUAAUGAAUCUCUUUUUUAUGUGACAUUCCAUUUUCAUUUUCCAUUCUUUCUAUAUUCUCCAUUUUCGUUUCUCUCAUUAGUUGUUGUUUCAUUUUAUUGUUUUGGGUUCCAAUUCCAAUUUCGCAUUUCAAUCCAUUUACGUUUUUGUAUUCCAGUUCUACACUUUAAGUUUCUUUUCCCUUAAUUUGGUUUUCCCUAAUUUCGUUUGCAAGUUCUAUUAUGUUUUUGUUUUGUUCAUUUUCGUAGCAGAUUUAAUGUUGAAUUGCUUUUCGUUUUAUUGUUGUGAUUUCAUGUUAAUGUUAGGUUAGGUGUGCUUGGUUGGAAAUUAGCAAAAUUACAUCAUUCUUUGAGAUUUCUGGAUUGUAAUUGUGUUUCUAUUGCUCUCGCUUGACAUGCUACUAAAUCUGGUUGUGUUGUUAGAAUGGGUAUAUGCUUAGUUACCCUAUUAGUGAUUAAUCAAUCUAUAUGGAAUACAUUAGAUGGAAUUGGUGUGUUGCGUUCGCUUAGUUCAUAAUUAUGAAAACAUGGUUAAUCUUCGCUUAGUUGGUUAGCUUGUGUUGGAUUAGGGGUUAGAGUAGUGUGUUGUUGGUUAAUCUGUGAUUGGAAGCAUGUAAUUGAGCUAGUGAUCAACCGUUUUAAAUCUGUGUUUGAUUCUGUGGUUUAGUAGUUUAUUUCAGUUCAUAAGUCUCCUCACAAACCCCUCAUUCCCUCCACCAAGUGCUUGACCUAACUCCUGAACUACAUUCGGUCCUUGAGAGACGACCUAGGAGUCACUUCCUAGUAUUAUACUACACUUAAUUAAGCCAUAAAUUUGAUUCGAGUACGACCUCGAUCAAAUUUUGUCGCCGUUGUUUUUUAUUUUUCUUUGUAGUUUUUGUUUUCUUUGUAAGUUUUUUAUUUUCUAGGUCAUUUUUGUUGUGUCUUGUGUAUAGCUUUGCAUAUUUCUCUUGCUUUUUGGAGUUUUUUUAGGUUGUAGACUCAUCCUUCACUUCACUUGAUUGAUACUGAUUAGUUUGAAAUCCUUGUAUUUCUCUAACUACAAGAUGAUUAUGACGUUUGAGAGGCUGAUUUAAUUGUGACAAAAAUACCCUGUGUGAGAAUGAGUCACUUCAUGUUCUUUCUUGUGUGUUUUAUAUCUCUUGAUUGCUUGCACGGAUGCCUUGGCUUGACUCUUUUUGAUGAUUCUUGAUUCAUAUGCAUGUUUGGAAGUGAUAAAGGAAAUUUUGUUCUUGAGUCUCUCUAGCCAAAUAAGCUUAUCUUGUUUUGAUCAUUUGAUAACCUUUGUUGAGCCUAUGCUUUCUCCUAUUCUUUGUUUUCAAGCUCAUUAAUUAUCCUUAAGUGAAAAACCAUGGUUACCUUUGUUAGAAAACAAUCGGUACCGGUUUUGCACAAGGGAAAUAAAACUCAGAGUUCGGUCAAUUUUAAAAAUGGUUCCUUUAAUUUUCUUACAAACGUUUUAUCAAACAGUUGAUGUGCAGAAAAUGUAAAGAGUGUAGGAAGUAGAAAAAUUCACACAAAGGACAUUUAUAUUGGUUCGAAUCAAAAGAUUCUAUAUCCACUUGUUAGUUACUAUAAAGAGUGAUUAACAGUUUCACUAAAAUCAGUUUUACAAAUUACAGAAUAGUGAAUGUAAAUAGAAAGAUAAAACCUUCCUUCGACGAACAAACCAAAAGGGAACUUGCUUCGACAAGCGAACCAGAAGCAGACAGUGAGCACUUUCCUUCAACAGACAAACCGGAAGAGUGCAGCAUGAACCAUCCUUCAACAAACGAAUCGGAAGCAACAACUUUGCCAACUUGAAGAGAAUCACUCCGACCUUUGACACACAAAGCGCGAGCUUCUCCUAUUCACAAAACUUGACAAAAGCAAGAACUAGCACUUGAGAACUUCCUCAGUUUUCACUGUAUUCUCAAAUUUGCAAAGUUUUUUUUUUCUAAAGUGUUUGGCAAAGGUAUAUAUAGCCUACUGGUCUGAAACUGAAGAGACACAUUACAACUGCCAAUGAUAAUCGAUUAUUGUAAGUGAUAAUCGAUUAUCUGCGAGACUUGGAAUAGUUUGAAUAUUAACAUUUCAAACCAGUUGGCUUUAGUUCUUAAUAUCCUUCUACUGUUUGGUUUGAACACUGAUUGCCUUCUACCGUUCGGCUCGUCUCCUUACAGCAUUUCAGCGUUCGGUGCUAAUUGCUUGGUCUCGGUCAUGCUCUCCACCGCUCUGCUCAAUACUUGUAAACUUUCCAACUCUUAACAUUUUCUUCUGCAGUGUUAGUUGGACACAAUAUUAUUCGGUUUGUGUUUGACAUCAUUCGAUCUUCAAUUGUUAUGCAUCAUUCAGCCUUUUGGUAGUGUUCAGCCUUCAACUGUGUUCAACAUCGUUUGGUCCUUAACUUGAGUUUGGCCAAUGUUCAACUUUGUUUGGUCUUGUGAGUGUCCGUUCAGUCUUGAACUGUGUUCAUGUUGUGUUCAACCUUGAACUGAUAUACACUAUCCAAUCUUCAACUAUUACAUAUUGUUCAAUCUUUCACUAAUAGUGAUCGUUCGGUCUUUAAGUUGUGUUCGGCCAUCAUAUUGUGUUCGGCCAUGAACAGUGUUCGGUCUUCAUCUGCGUUCGGUCGUUGAUUGAUAGUGACCGUUCAACCUUUUAGUUAUGUUCGACCAUUAAUAGUGUUCGGCUUUCAACUGUUGUAUGUCAUUCAGUCUUGUGUUCUACCUUAAAAUUAUAAUGACAGUUCGUUCAUGAACUGCGUUUAGCCUGAUCCUUCUUUUGACCAUUCGGUCUUCAGUCUUUAUUCAACGUUAUGGGCUCUUGAUCUCUUUCCUUGCGGACCAACAUACAAGAAUGCUUUUAAACUUGAAGCAACAAGGGUCUUCAUAUUCUUCACUUGUAACAUCAUCAAAAUUCUUAUCUUUAAGUCACCAAUGCUCCUCAUUGGUAACAACCUUAACCUCAGGGAAUUUUGGAGCUUUGGAAUUGUUUUGGGGAAAAAUGUGGUCUUCUUGGGGAUUCUUAUGAAUAGGCUAUUUGGUUCCUAUUCUUGUUUUGCUUUUGUAAAUAUGUUGUGCAUCUUGUGUCCUAAAAAAAAGAGAGAAAAGAAAAGAGACAAGACAAGAAAAGAUAGAAAAAAAUCACAAAAAUAGAAAAAAUCAGAAAAAUAAAAAAAAUUAUGAAUAAAGGAGUCAAGAAGUGGAUUGAAUUAGAAGUUUUGGGUGUAAUUUGGUUGUGUUUUCACUUGUUCCGCAUUGCUCCUUUAUUUCUUUUGGUUUGUAGCCUCUCAUCCAUACAUUAUCCUCUCUUGUCAUUGGCCCCAUUACAGCCAUAAAAGUACUUUUGAUUUGAACAUGCAUAUGUUUUGAGUGUUGAUAUUAGAGGUUUGCUAAGUUUGUUUGUUGUUUGCUUUAUUGAGUGCAUUGAGAUGACAUUUUUUACCCUAGACACUUGAGAGAUACAGUGACAGUGCAUUUGUGAGGUUCUGUUGCUUUUGAUUCACCUCUUGAGCUGAUUGAUUAUUUUGCCAUGCUUUAAAUUGCUUGGAUAUCUUCCAUGAGUAUUUACUUUCUUUGACUAUCUGUGUGUUGGAUGUUGUCUACUCCUUUUCUCUUUCCAGUUUUCAUUGAGAAUUGUGUAAAUUUGUUUGAUGUCUUGUAUGUCCUUUUGUUUCUAUGUCUGGAUGUUGUGUCAUGCUCUUGAUGUCUUUUGAAUUGUUCUUUAUUCUGCGUCUUAAUUUUGCCAAGGAGUGCAAAAGACUAAGUGUGGUCUAUUUUGAUGAAUCAUUAUUUUGUACUACUCACUUAACUUUUCAAACCAAAUUGUGUUAAUGAAUUAUGUUUAAUUCUCCAUUAUUGUCUCAUUUUCACUAUUUGGGCUUAAUUAAACUAUUAAUUCUUAUUUUAACUAAUUUGAAUUGUUUGAACUUAAUUACUCCAAUUAUUAUUUGCAGGUCAAUUUUAGAAACAUAUUUUUGGACUUCAAAAGCGUGGUCACAUCAACAUUAUAAUUUAAUUUCAUUUUGAAUUCAUUUAUAAUGUAAUUGGGUCAAACUUUAUGACUUUGGGCUCAAUUUUAAGUCAUAUUUAUUUUGUAGAAGCCUAUAUAGGAAGGGCAUUUUCAUAAUUAGGGUUUAUAAAACCCUAAAUCAGAUUUGAAACCCCUCUCCUUCCCUCAUUUUACAUUUUUCCCCCUAAGGUUUUAGCUAUUGGGACGUUUUCCACCACCCCCCUUUGGGGGUUUUAGGUUUGCUUUUGUUUUCCUUUUUCUUGUAAUGAAUCUUAUUUUUAUGUGUAAUUCCAUUUUCGUUUUCCAUUCUUGCUUUAUUCUCCAUUUUUGUUUCUCUCAUUGCUUGUUGUUUCGUUUUAUUGUUUUGGGUUCCAUUUCCAAUUUCGUAUUUCAAUCCAUUUACGUUUUUGUAUUCCAGUUCUACACUUUAAGUUUCGUUUUCCCCCAAUUUGGUUUUCCCUAAUUUUUUUGCAAGUUCUAUUGCGUUUUUGUUUUGUGUAUUUUCGUAGCAGAUUUAAUGUUGAAUUUCUUUUUGUUUUGUAGCUGCAAUUUCAUGUUAAUGUUAGCUUAGGUGUGCUCGGUUGGUCAUUAGCGAAAUUACAUCAUUCUUUGAGAUUUCUGGACUGUAAUUGUGUUUUUGCUGCUCUGGCUUGGCAUUCUAUUAAAUCCGAUUGUGUUCUUGAAAUGGGUAUACGCUUAGUUGCCCAAUUGGUGAUUGAAUCUCCACUUAUUUGACGAAUCUGUAUGCAAUACAUUAGAUGGAAUAGGUAUGUUGCGUUCGCUUAGUUCGGUAUUAUGGAAACAUUGUUAGUCUUCGCUUAGUUGGUUAGCUUGUGUUGUUGGUAAAUCUGUUAUUGGAAGAAUGUAAUUGAGCUAGUGAUCAACCGUUUUAAAUCUGUGUUUGAAUCUAGGGUUUAGUAGCUUAUUUCAGUACACAAAUCUCUUCAUAACCCCCCCCCCAACUAAGUGUUUGACCUAAUUCCUGAACCACAUUUGUCCUUGAGAGACGACCUGAUGGUAAGCCCUUUUAGGUACAUCCCAUCCAAAGAAGUAUCAACUACACCAAGACUAUGAAAGGGAAGUUGAAUAAAAACUUAAUUUUUUCCUUAUAAGUCUUAGCAUAUUCUUCUCAAAACACUAAAUAUCUUUCAUUGUUUUGUAGAUCACUUAAGGUGAGAAUAAGGAAGCAAGUAGGAGACCAAGGAAGGUGGAUUUUAUUGAUUAAAGACAGCAAGCAACAUGAAGUAGGAAUUCCUUGCGGAUGGAAGAAGCGCCCAGCUCAAACCCUGGUUGGCUCGUUCAACAAGUAAAGCAUUUAACACGUGUUAAAUGUUAUACUCAUGUUACAUGCUUUCCAUGUUCAGCCAAAGUUUUUCGCACAUGCUAGUGUGAUUUCAGUAGCUUCUCUUAGACGCCAUUGAGCCUUGUUUCUUCCAUAAAAGAACGCUUCCGUCCAUUGUAAAUGGAACUUGAAUGAGAAUUAGUGUUAUGCUGUUGAAAUUCUUCUAGCUGCCUUAAUCAUUCGAGUUCAUACUUUGUUUGCUUUAGCAAAAGCCUCCUCUAUCUCCUUUCCCUCUAGGAAAGCCAUCUGAGCUAGUUUCUUCACUGCAUCAUCUUUUAAACACUACCAAACAUUUUAUCAAACACCUUCUGUGCGUUUCAUCCACUACAUCAUUCUCCAUUUCCGCUGCCACACCUGACCGAGGAGAUUCUUCCAUCUCAGACGUGGAGGUUGCUUCUAUCACUUCCUAGUAUUAUACUGCACUUAAUUGAGAACUUAAUUUGAUUUGGAUAUGACCUCGAUCAAAAGGCAACCUUCGAAUCUCAGUCCCUUCCAAUGCCCAUCAUGGACGAAGAGACCCAUCUAUUCCACCGCCCUUUAAAAGCAAAGAGAUUCACCUUUCUACCACCUCGCAAGAGGAAAGGUGACUACUUUUCUACCCCCUCAUAAGAGGAAAGGUGACUACCUUUCUACCCCAUCGAUAGAGGAAAGUUACAACCCUGAAUUAACUAAGUAUAGCCAGAAAACCAUGCUUAAAACAUACCCACCAUCACGCCACAUGGUUGGUUCAAUAUUGUGACUCUCUCACUAAGCUAACCAAUGAUCACGUAAAGUCAUUACUGUUGUUCUUGUAACCCAUCUGAUAACGGUCUAAAAAUCAUUAUUUUCAUACUUAAAAUUGAUAUCAAAACACACCCUUUAUGACCUAGAAUGAGCUUAAAAUCAAGUAAAACACUUAGUUGAGUCAUGAAAGAGUCAAAAGUUGGUUUUAGAGAUAUUAUGCCUGUUUUUACUUUGUUUUGCAGGGUUUUAAGGUGAAUUGAAGAUGGAAGUGAAGUAAGGUGGACUUAGACCCAUGAAAGUGAAAGAAAAAGGAUGAAAAGAAGGGUCAAGUGAGUCGCUGAGCGUCCAGAGCGAUUAGAGGGAAACCGCUCAGCGGCAAAACUGACCGCUGAGCGGUCCAACGGAUAAAGGGGAAACCGUUGAGCGGUUUACUAAGGCGUUUGGGCGGUUGUCUAUUUUUAUUAGCUAGAUUCUGUAAUCUUUCUGUUAUCUUUUUGGCUUAUAUAUAGCCUCAGUGCGAAUCAAAACACAAUCAUUUGGCAGAGAGAAACGUCCAAAGUUGUUCCACACACCUUGGAGGAGGUUCCUUGGAUUCUUAGGCUUCAAUCUACCAAGUUUAGGAUUAUUUCUUCCAUUCUUCCAUUAUAUUUCAUCUAGAUUCACCAUUAUUAUGGUGAACUAAACCCUAGGUUGUUGGGGAACAAUGUAAUCUUUUGAAACUCUCUUAUANNAAAAUUCUUAUCUUCUUUAUAUGCUUGC